CUCCAGACUCCUACGGGAGGCAGCAGUGGGGAAUAUUGCACAAUGGGGGAAACCCUGAUGCAGCGACGCCGCGUGAGCGAUGAAGUAUUUCGGUAUGUAAAGCUCUAUCAGCAGGGAAGAAGAUGACGGUACCUGACUAAGAAGCCCUGGCUAACUACGUGCCAGCAGCCGCGGUAAUACGUAGGGGGCAAGCGUUAUCCGGAUUUACUGGGUGUAAAGGGAGCGUAGACGGCGAUGCAAGCCAGAUGUGAAAGCCCGGGGCUCAACCCCGGGACUGCAUUUGGAACUGUGUGGCUGGAGUGUCGGAGAGGCAGGCGGAAUUCCUAGUGUAGCGGUGAAAUGCGUAGAUAUUAGGAGGAACACCAGUGGCGAAGGCGGCCUGCUGGACGAUGACUGACGUUGAGGCUCGAAAGCGUGGGGAGCAAACAGGAUUAGAUACCCGCGUAU
RNAcentral lists this ribosomal RNA (447 nucleotides) under uncultured bacterium. Its description in RNAcentral is "bacterial SSU rRNA". It matches the Rfam family "Bacterial small subunit ribosomal RNA", at positions 329 to 793 of the family's 1533-position model. The record is from RNAcentral.